This 446-nucleotide ribosomal RNA is filed under the name uncultured bacterium. RNAcentral's name for it is "partial 16S ribosomal RNA". It matches the Rfam family "Bacterial small subunit ribosomal RNA", at positions 338 to 795 of the family's 1533-position model. The record is from RNAcentral.
CCUACGGGAGGCAGCAGUCGAGAAUCAUUCACCAUGGGGGAAACCCUGCUGGUGCGACGCCGCGUGGGGGAAUGAAGGUCUUCGGAUUGUAAACCCCUGUCAUGUGGGAGCAAAUUAAAAAGAUAAUACCACAAGAGGAAGAGACGGCUAACCCUGUGCCCGCAGCGGCGGUAAUACCGAGGUCUCAAGCGUUGUUCGGAAUCACUGGGCGUAAAGCGUGCGUAGGCUGUUUCGUAAGUCUUGUGUGAAAGUCGCGGGCUCAACCCGCGGCGGACACAUGAUACUGGGAGACUAGAGUAAGGGAGGGGGAAACGGAAUUCUCGGUGUAGCAGUGAAAUGCGUAGAUAUCGAGAGGAACACUCGUGGCGAAGGCGGGUUCCUGGACAUUAACUGACGCUGAGGCACGAAGGCCAGGGGAGCGAAAGGGAUUAGAUACCCCUGUAGUC